Molecule: long non-coding RNA, 707 nt
Organism: Ananas comosus (pineapple)
Lineage: Eukaryota; Viridiplantae; Streptophyta; Magnoliopsida; Poales; Bromeliaceae
Exons: 3
Source: RefSeq, a predicted model, not a curated record
GUAUAAGCUGAAAUUUCAGUUUUGUUAGUUGUUAGUAGUGUUCUUGGAAUUCAGCUGGCAUCUUUGAUUUGUUAGCAGUAAAAUUAGAGGCUUGGAGUAGAUCAAUUUCGAAAUUGAUGAUUCAUGACCAGAGUUGGGGAGUUAGGAUGCUGCCCAUAUCUUCCUUGAGCUGGAAUUGAAGGUUAGUGGCUUUAAUUUUAAAGUUUGAUCAAGAUUGGUUCAAUGCUGAAAUUUCAGGCAGAUUUCGUCCACUGUUGGAAUUCAUUAAAGUUCGUUCAAAUUUUCUAUAGGAGCUGAGCUUUCGAAAAAGUUGGAAGUGAUCUUGACUUCGUCCUCUGCUGUGUAGAAUCUUGUUUCGAUCAAUUCGGAGGUUUUUCUUGUAGUGAAAAGGCCUAAGAUCACUUGUGAACAAGUCCCAAUUGCCAAUUUUGCUGUUGAUUGGUUGGUGGAGCAAGAAUGAAGUGCAACUUAGUGCUGGCAGCUUAGAAGCCAGCAGCAGCUUUGAGAUAGCAGCAGCAACAGCCUUGGAGCAGGGACAGCAGCAACUAGUUUUGGAAAUUAGUUUCGAUUUGGACCUUAUUGCUGCAAUUGGAUGCUUCUUGGGUGUUCCUGAGGUAGAGAGGAACCUGCGAAUCAAGUUGCAACUAUUGGUUUGAGGGAUUUGUUGGAUUUUCUUAUACUUGUUGGUGAUUUGGGACUAAAGGCAC